CUCCCCGGCAAGGAAUCGAACCCCGGUCUCCCCCGCGUGACAGGCGGGGAUACUCACCACUAUACUACCGAGGA
This 74-nucleotide transfer RNA is filed under the name Araneus ventricosus. RNAcentral describes it as "tRNA-Asp". The record is from RNAcentral. Lineage: Eukaryota; Metazoa; Arthropoda; Arachnida; Araneae; Araneidae.